GGAUAUAGCUCAGUUGGUAGAGUGCUUGCCUUUCAUGCACAAGGCCCUGGGUUCGAGCCCCAAACCA
Molecule: transfer RNA, 67 nt
Filed under: Marmota monax (woodchuck)
Lineage: Eukaryota; Metazoa; Chordata; Mammalia; Rodentia; Sciuridae
Description: tRNA.Glu
Source: RNAcentral